Molecule: ribosomal RNA, 577 nt
Filed under: uncultured archaeon
Lineage: Archaea
Description: bacterial SSU rRNA
Rfam family: Archaeal small subunit ribosomal RNA
Source: RNAcentral
ACGGGGUGCAGCAGGCGCGAAAACUGGCCAAUGCGCGAAAGCGUGAGCCGGCGACUCCGAGUGAUGGCCUAUCGGCCAUUCUUUUGCCAAGCGUUCAAAACUUGGCGAAUAACGAGAGGGCAAGACUGGUGCCAGCCGCCGCGGUAAAACCAGCUCUUGGAGUGGUGGGCAUGUUUAUUUGGCUUAAAGAGUGCGUAGCAGGACAGCGUAAGUCCUCAGUGAAAUGCCAGGUCUUAAGCUUGGCGCGUGCUGGGGAUACUGUGCGUCUAGGGAACAGGAGAGGUCCAGGGUACUCACUGGGUAGGGGUGAAAUCCGAUAAUCCAGUGAGGACCACCGGUGGCGAAGGCGCUGGACUGGAAUGUGUCCGACUGUGAGGCACGAAAGCUAGGGUAGCGAGCCGGAUUAGAUACCCGGGUAGUCCUAGCCGUAAACGAUGCGCGCUAAGUGUUGGGUGACGCUCGACGUUAUCCAGUGCCGAAGGGAAACCGUUAAGCGCGCCGCCUGGGAAGUACGUUCGCAAGGAUGAAACUUAAAGGAAUUGGCGGGGGCCUACUACAAGAAGUGGAGCCUGCGGUU